This 237-nucleotide ribosomal RNA is filed under the name uncultured bacterium. RNAcentral describes it as "partial 16S ribosomal RNA". It matches the Rfam family "Bacterial small subunit ribosomal RNA", at positions 100 to 334 of the family's 1533-position model. The record is from RNAcentral.
CCGGCACGGGUGAGUAACACGUAUCCAACCUGCCGUCUACUCUUGGACAGCCUUCUGAAAGGAAGAUUAAUACAAGAUGGCAUCAUGAGUUCACAUGUUCACAUGAUUAAAGGUAUUCCGGUAGACGAUGGGGAUGCGUUCCAUUAGAUAGUAGGCGGGGUAACGGCCCACCUAGUCUUCGAUGGAUAGGGGUUCUGAGAGGAAGGUCCCCCACAUUGGAACUGAGACACGGUCCAA